Molecule: ribosomal RNA, 413 nt
Filed under: Salmonella enterica
Lineage: Bacteria; Pseudomonadati; Pseudomonadota; Gammaproteobacteria; Enterobacterales; Enterobacteriaceae
Description: partial 23S ribosomal RNA
Rfam family: Bacterial large subunit ribosomal RNA
Source: RNAcentral
GGGUUGUGAGGUUAAGCGACUAAGCGUACACGGUGGAUGCCCUGGCAGUCAGAGGCGAUGAAGGGCGUGCUAAUCUGCGAUAAGCGCCGGUAAGGUGAUAUGAACCGUUAUAACCGGCGAUACCCGAAUGGGGAAACCCAGUGUGACUCGUCACACUAUCAUUAACUGAAUCCAUAGGUUAAUGAGGCGAACCGGGGGAACUGAAACAUCUAAGUACCCCGAGGAAAAGAAAUCAACCGAGAUUCCCCCAGUAGCGGCGAGCGAACGGGGAGGAGCCCAGAGCCUGAAUCAGCAUGUGUGUUAGUGGAAGCGUCUGGAAAGGCGCGCGAUACAGGGUGACAGCCCCGUACACAAAAGCGCAUGUGCUGUGAGCUCGAUGAGUAGGGCGGGACACGUGGUAUCCUGUCUGAAUA